GGGGGCGUUUAGAUUCGACAGGGUUGUUGGGUCGUUGGCUGCAGGUCGAGGUUGCUUGGAUCCUCGUAAAAAGCUGAGCAAAAAAACAAACGCCAAUAAUGUAAUCAGCGUUGAUUUCUCUGCUAAGCGCGCUUUGCGCGCUGCCUAAAAACUUAGUUUUUAGAUAAAGCAGAACUCGAUAGUUUCUUGACUACCCGAAACUAAAGGGUUAAACCAUGGUGGUUGCCACAGGGCAAAGUUAGCGGUUGCUAGCCCUGUCUAAGACAUAAUCGUGACCCCGGGCGGCUGUUCAAGCCGACUGCAGCGGGCUGAGCAAUCAGCGUCUGCAGAAGUGUUGAACUAAACUUGUAGAUGCUUGCCUCUCGGUUUCUUUGGACGCGAGUGCGAUUCUCGCCGCCUCCACCA
This 405-nucleotide transfer-messenger RNA is filed under the name Candidatus Melainabacteria bacterium. It matches the Rfam family "transfer-messenger RNA". From Rfam's summary of the family: Bacterial tmRNA, also known as 10Sa RNA or SsrA, is named for its dual tRNA and mRNA-like properties. Its role is to liberate the mRNA from a stalled ribosome. The record is from Rfam by way of RNAcentral. RNAcentral also lists the same sequence under 1 other name. Lineage: Bacteria; Bacillati; Candidatus Melainabacteria.